RNAcentral lists this long non-coding RNA (1215 nucleotides) under Anas platyrhynchos platyrhynchos (common mallard). RNAcentral describes it as "lncRNA (ENSAPLG00000024877.1)". The record is from RNAcentral. Lineage: Eukaryota; Metazoa; Chordata; Aves; Anseriformes; Anatidae.
UGGAGCCCGUCUGCAGCCCGCAGGGGGAUGACAUGACAUGGAAAGGAAAUGGAAGAGAAAAGGGAAACUGAAAAGAGAAAAGAAAAAAGAAGAUGAGAAAUAAAAUAAAAUGAAAAAUAAAAUAAAUAAAAUAAAACAAAACAAAACAAAACAAAAUAAAAUAAAAUACAAAUAUAUAAAGUUUAUAAAAUCAAUUCAAUAAAUUAAAAUAAAUAAAGUAAAAUCAAUAAAUAAAGUCGCGGCAGCACCGAGGAGCCCAGGGGCGCUGCACAGUGCCCAUGCCCCCUCCCCGCUCUCCUCCCAGCCCCUGGUCCUUCAGUCCCGCAGGUGCCCCCCCUGCCCGGCAGCUGCGUGUUUCCCCCCCCAGCAAGCGGCAGGCCGGGGAGGGCAGCGGGUGCUGCGGCUUUGAAUGCCUGGGCUCACCCAAAGAGGCACCUGAAGUCCUGCCAAGUCGUGCACAUGGCUCAGUGUGUCAGGACACCAGCAGGCAUUGGAGCAGGGGCAGAGACAGAAUCCCCUCCAAUCUUAACCUCUCCAUCUGGGAUCUGCUACUUUUGCACAAGUUGAAAAGAUCCAUGCUCUAGAUGUACGUGAAGCAGUGAUUCAGUGCAGCCUGGGAUCAGCGAGUAGCGGCUAUUGUUCUCCAGAGCCAUGGCUUACAUCCAAAUGCUACACACUGGGUAUGGUAUUUGUAUCAGUGGCGUUUUCAGUCUCAACAUGCAAGAUGAGAAAGUCACUGUUUUAAAUGGUUACUCCUUUGGGAAGGGGAAAUUGAGAAGAUGGACUUCUGAGUAGAGCACUAGUGAGAUGGCACCCUAUCCUCGGUGAUAAAUGGGAGCAUUAACAAGGCUUGGUCGAGAGGAACCCUACAGAUUUAUGGCUUCCUGUCUCCACCAGCAGAUGCCAUUAUGGCUGACAGAACAGAAUGCCUUUCAAGAGGGAACUGGGGUGGGAUUAUGAAGAAGGGGGAAAAAAGCAAGCAGACUCGGGUGUCCAUUUUUAUCCACUGGUCAGAAUUCUCUGAUAGCUUUGAAUAGAGCUGAAACUAUACAGCAAUUGUGUGCUCUCUCCUCCUGUUAUUUAUAACUAAGUUGGUGAAGGUCAUUUAGCAUCUCUUUAGCACAGGAAGAACCCAUAAUAUUUACUGAAAGCAUUUUUGCACACUUGAAAAUUAGAGAUAAUAAAAUGAACAGAUAGCACUGGAGGCUUCCUUGG